AUUGCACGCUGGCGGCAGGCCUAACACAUGCAAGUCGAACGAGUGGCGGACGGGUGAGUAAUGUCUGGGAAACUGCCUGAUGGAGGGGGAUACAUACUGGAAACGGUAGAUAAUCACGCAUACCAUCAGAUGUGCCCAGAUGGGAUUAGCUUGUUGGUGGGGUAACGGCUCACCAAGGCGACGAUCCCUAGCUGGUCUGAGAGGAUGACCAGCCACCCUGGAACUGAGACACGUUCAAUAUUCCAACGGUAGGCAGCAGUGGGGAAUAUUGCACUAUGGGCGCAAGCCUGAUGCAGCCAUGCCGCGUGUAUGAAGAAGGCCUUCGGGUUGUAAAUUACUUUCAGCGGGGAGGCUUUACCCGCAGAAGAAGCACCGGCUAACUCCGUGCCAGCAGCCGCGGUAAUUC
RNAcentral lists this ribosomal RNA (406 nucleotides) under uncultured bacterium. RNAcentral describes it as "partial 16S ribosomal RNA". It matches the Rfam family "Bacterial small subunit ribosomal RNA", at positions 30 to 526 of the family's 1533-position model. The record is from RNAcentral.